Molecule: ribosomal RNA, 250 nt
Filed under: uncultured prokaryote
Description: partial 16S ribosomal RNA
Rfam family: Bacterial small subunit ribosomal RNA
Source: RNAcentral
CACGUAAGGUGCAAGCGUUGUUCGGAAUUAUUGGGCGUAAAGGGCAUGCAGGCGGUCUGGUAAGUUAGGCGUGAAAUCCCGGGGCUUAACCCCGGAACUGCGCUUGAUACUGCUGGACUAGAGUCAGUGAGGGGAGACUAGAAUUCCAGGUGUAGGGGUGAAAUCUGCAGAUAUCUGGAAGAAUACCGGUGGCGAAGGCAGGUCUCUAGCACAUGACUGACGCUCAUAUGCGAAGGUGCGGGGAGCAAAC